GAUGAACGCUGGCGGCGUGCCUAAUACAUGCAAGUCGAGCGAACAGACGAGGAGCUUGCUCCUCUGACGUUAGCGGCGGACGGGUGAGUAACACGUGGAUAACCUACCUAUAAGACUGGGAUAACUUCGGGAAACCGGAGCUAAUACCGGAUAAUAUAUUGAACCGCAUGGUUCAAUAGUGAAAGACGGUUUUGCUGUCACUUAUAGAUGUAUCCGCGCCGCAUUAGCUAGUUGGUAAGGUAACGGCUUACCAAGGCGACGAUGCGUAGCCGACCUGAGAGGGUGAUCGGCCACACUGGAACUGAGACACGGUCCAGACUCCUACGGGAGGCAGCAGUAGGGAAUCUUCCGCAAUGGGCGAAAGCCUGACGGGGCAACGCCGCGUGAGUGAUGAAGGUCUUCGGAUCGUAAAACUCUGUUAUUAGGGAAGAACAAAUGUGUAAGUAACUAUGCACGUCUUGACGGUACCUAAUCAGAAAGCCACGGCUAACUACGUG
RNAcentral lists this ribosomal RNA (497 nucleotides) under uncultured bacterium. RNAcentral describes it as "partial 16S ribosomal RNA". It matches the Rfam family "Bacterial small subunit ribosomal RNA", at positions 28 to 507 of the family's 1533-position model. The record is from RNAcentral.